UAAAUGCGAUAAGUAAUGUGAAUUGCAGAAUUCAGUGAAUCAUCGAAUCUUUGAACGCACAUUGCGCCCGCCAGUAUUCUGGCGGGCAUGCCUGUCCGAGCGUCAUUUCAACCAUCAAGCCCCCGGGCUUGUGUUGGGGACCUGCGGCUGCCCGCAGGCCCUGAAAACCAGUGGCGGGCUCGCUGUCACACCGAGCGUAGUAGCAAUCACCUCGCUCAGGGCGUGCUGCGGGUUCCGGCCGUUAAACAGCCUUACAAAACCCAAGGUUGACCUCGGAUCAGGUAGGAAGACCCGCUGAACUUAAGC
Molecule: unclassified non-coding RNA, 306 nt
Filed under: plant metagenome
Description: partial contains 5.8S ribosomal RNA, internal transcribed spacer 2, and large subunit ribosomal RNA
Rfam family: 5.8S ribosomal RNA (bases 1-105)
Source: RNAcentral